GAGGGAAUCUUCGGCAAUGGACGGAAGUCUGACCGAGCAACGCCGCGUGAGUGAAGAAGGUUUUCGGAUUGUAAAGCUCUGUUGUUAGAGAAGAACGUUGGUAGGAGUGGAAAAUCUACCAAGCGACGGUAACUAACCAGAAAGGGACGGCUAACUACGUGCCAGCAGCCGCGGUAAUACGUAGGUCCCGAGCGUUGUCCGGAUUUAUUGGGCGUAAAGCGAGCGCAGGCGGUUCUUUAAGUCUGAAGUUAAAGGCAGUGGCUUAACCAUUGUACGCUUUGGAAACUGGAGGACUUGAGUGCAGAAGGGGAGAGUGGAAUUCCAUGUGUAGCGGUUAAAUGCGUAGAUAUAUGGAGGAACACCGGUGGCGAAAGCGGCUCUCUGGUCUGUAACUGACGCUGAGGCUCGAAAGCGUGGGGAGCAAACAGG
Molecule: ribosomal RNA, 429 nt
Filed under: Bacillota bacterium
Lineage: Bacteria; Bacillati; Bacillota
Description: Firmicutes bacterium partial 16S ribosomal RNA
Rfam family: Bacterial small subunit ribosomal RNA
Source: RNAcentral